This is a non-coding RNA of Nicotiana tabacum (common tobacco), 433 nucleotides long. NCBI's taxonomy places the organism in Eukaryota, Viridiplantae, Streptophyta, Magnoliopsida, Solanales, Solanaceae. The record is from RefSeq and is a predicted model, not a curated record.
AUAGCACAACAACCAGUGACUAUUCAGCUCACCUAUAAACUACUUUCUGCUUCCGCUCAACUUCCCAAGUUGUCAGUCACCGUUGCCGCCUAAGCGCUAUAAAAUCCUCGCCGGAGCCACUCCGUUUUCUUACCGGAUUUCAAUUUUCCGGUGAGGAUAGAGAGAGCGAAAGAGAUCGAGUGCUGAAUUUUCUAAGUGAGAGUUGUAGACUAAAUGGCUGUAAGGAAGGCUGGCUUAAUUGCUUUGUUUGAUGUGGAUGGAACUCUUACAGCACCUCGCAAGGUAGUUACUCCAGAAAUGUUGGAGUUCAUGCGGGAACUCAGAAAGGUUGUCACUGUUGGAGUUGUUGGAGGUUCAGACCUUGUCAAGAUAUCAGAACAGCUUGGAAAGACAGGUUAGUUUAGCCAGAUUUCAGUGAGAGAUUUAUAGUUAA